AGAGUUUGAUCCUGGCUCAGAUUGAACGCUGGCGGCAUGCUUUACACAUGCAAGUCGAACGGCAGCGGGGGCUUCGGCCUGCCGGCGAGUGGCGAACGGGUGAGUAAUGCAUCGGAACGUGCCCAUGUCGUGGGGGAUAACGUAGCGAAAGCUACGCUAAUACCGCAUACGUCCUGAGGGAGAAAGCGGGGGAUUCUUCGGAACCUCGCGCGAUUGGAGCGGCCGAUGUCGGAUUAGCUAGUAGGUGAGGUAAAGGCUCACCUAGGCGACGAUCCGUAGCGGGUCUGAGAGGAUGAUCCGCCACACUGGGACUGAGACACGGCCCAGACUCCUACGGGAGGCAGCAGUGGGGAAUUUUGGACAAUGGGCGCAAGCCUGAUCCAGCCAUGCCGCGUGAGUGAAGAAGGCCUUCGGGUUGUAAAGCUCUUUCGGCCGGGAAGAAAUCGUGUUCUCUAACAUAGGACAUGGAUGACGGUACCGGACUAAGAAGCACCGGCUAACUACGUGCCAGCAGCCGCGGUAAUACGUAGGGUGCGAGCGUUAAUCGGAAUUACUGGGCGUAAAGCGUGCGCAGGCGGUUUUGUAAGACAGAUGUGAAAUCCCCGGGCUUAACCUGGGAACUGCGUUUGUGACUGCAAGGCUAGAGUACGGCAGAGGGGGGUGGAAUUCCUGGUGUAGCAGUGAAAUGCGUAGAGAUCAGGAGGAACACCGAUGGCGA
Molecule: ribosomal RNA, 718 nt
Filed under: uncultured bacterium
Lineage: Bacteria
Description: bacterial SSU rRNA
Rfam family: Bacterial small subunit ribosomal RNA
Source: RNAcentral